Molecule: ribosomal RNA, 465 nt
Filed under: uncultured bacterium
Lineage: Bacteria
Description: partial 16S ribosomal RNA
Rfam family: Bacterial small subunit ribosomal RNA
Source: RNAcentral
CCUACGGGUGGCUGCAGUGGGGAAUAUUGCGCAAUGGGCGAAAGCCUGACGCAGCGACGCCGCGUGAGGGAUGAAGGUCUUCGGAUCGUAAACCUCUGUCAGCAGGGAAGAACGGUCACUGUGCUAAUCAGUAGUGACUUGACGGUACCUGAACAGGAAGCACCGGCUAACUCCGUGCCAGCAGCCGCGGUAAUACGGAGGGUGCGAGCGUUAAUCGGAAUUACUGGGCGUAAAGCGCUCGUAGGCGGUAUGUCAAGUCAAGGGUGAAAUCCCCGCGCUCAACGUGGGAACUGCCUUUGAAACUGGCAAACUUGAGUGUGUGAGAGGAUAGUGGAAUUCCAGGUGUAGGAGUGAAAUCCGUAGAUAUCUGGAGGAACAUCAGUGGCGAAGGCGACUAUCUGGCACAUAACUGACGCUGAGGAGCGAAAGCGUGGGUAGCAAACAGGAUUAGAUACCCUUGUAGUC